This 116-nucleotide ribosomal RNA is filed under the name Salmonella enterica subsp. enterica serovar Infantis. Lineage: Bacteria; Pseudomonadati; Pseudomonadota; Gammaproteobacteria; Enterobacterales; Enterobacteriaceae. The record is from RNAcentral.
CCUGGCGGCAGUAGCGCGGUGGUCCCACCUGACCCCAUGCCGAACUCAGAAGUGAAACGCCGUAGCGCCGAUGGUAGUGUGGGGUCUCCCCAUGCGAGAGUAGGGAACUUCCAGGC